CCUACGGGCUGCAGCAGUGGGGAAUAUUGGACAAUGGGCGAAAGCCUGAUCCAGCCAUGCCGCGUGUGUGAAGAAGGCCUUCGGGUUGUAAAGCACUUUCAGUGGGGAAGAAAGCCUUGGGGCUAAUACCCUCGAGGAAGGACAUCACCCACAGAAGAAGCACCGGCUAACUCCGUGCCAGCAGCCGCGGUAAUACGGAGGGUGCGAGCGUUAAUCGGAAUUACUGGGCGUAAAGCGCGCGUAGGCGGUCUGAUAAGCCGGUUGUGAAAGCCCCGGGCUCAACCUGGGAACGGCAUCCGGAACUGUCAGGCUAGAGUGCAGGAGAGGAAGGUAGAAUUCCCGGUGUAGCGGUGAAAUGCGUAGAGAUCGGGAGGAAUACCAGUGGCGAAGGCGGCCUUCUGGACUGACACUGACGCUGAGGUGCGAAAGCGUGGGUAGCAAACAGGAGUAGAUACCCUUGUAGUC
Molecule: ribosomal RNA, 465 nt
Filed under: Vreelandella stevensii
Lineage: Bacteria; Pseudomonadati; Pseudomonadota; Gammaproteobacteria; Oceanospirillales; Halomonadaceae
Description: partial 16S ribosomal RNA
Rfam family: Bacterial small subunit ribosomal RNA
Source: RNAcentral